AAAUAGAGGCGCGGCUGACAAAAGUAGCCUGCGGUAGUUCAUCACCGGGCGAUGACCGCAUGUGAAAGGGAAAGCCGCCGAAACGACGGGCCGGGUGAUACGGUCAGGAGUUGGUUGCAGAAAGAAGAUUCCUGCAACUGUCACAGCAUUGCUGUGGAGCGCUAUUCGU
RNAcentral lists this non-coding RNA (169 nucleotides) under pig gut metagenome. RNAcentral describes it as "Lysine riboswitch". It matches the Rfam family "Lysine riboswitch aptamer". Rfam says of the family: Riboswitches are metabolite binding domains within certain messenger RNAs that serve as precision sensors for their corresponding targets. Allosteric rearrangement of mRNA structure is mediated by ligand binding, and this results in modulation of gene expression. The record is from RNAcentral.